AUACGGAGGAUCCGAGCGUUAUCCGGAUUUAUUGGGUUUAAAGGGUGCGCAGGCGGCCAUUUAAGUCAGCGGUUAAAUCGUGGGGCUCAACCCCAUUCUGCCGUUGAUACUGGGUGGCUUGAUUGCGGUCGAGGUUGGCGGAAUUCGUUGUGUAGCGGUGAAAUGCAUAGAUAUGACGAAGAACACCGAUUGCGUAGGCAGCUGACCAGACCGCAAAUGACGCUCAUGCACGAAAGUGCGGGAUCGAACAGGAUUAGAUACCCUGGUAGUCCGCACAGUAAACGAUGAAUACUUGUUUUCGGCGAUAUAAUGUCGGAGGCAAAGCGAAAGCGAUAAGUAUUCCACCUGGGGAGUACGCCGGCAACGGUGAAACUCAAAUGAAUUGACGGGG
Molecule: ribosomal RNA, 391 nt
Filed under: uncultured bacterium
Lineage: Bacteria
Description: partial 16S ribosomal RNA
Rfam family: Bacterial small subunit ribosomal RNA
Source: RNAcentral